AUUUUUAAUUGAAAUCUUGUUUGAAUGGUUUUAUGAAAUAAAAUCUAUAUUAUUUUAAAUAUUGAAUUUUAUUUUUUAGUAAUAAAGCUAAAAUUAUAUAAAGGGACGAGAAGACCCUAUAGAAUUUUAUAAUAAUAAUAAAUUAUAUAAAUUAAAAUAAUAUUAUUAUUUUUAUUAUUAUUAUUUUAUUGGGGCGAUAAUUAAAUUUAAUUAACUUUUUAAAUUAUAAUUCAUUAAUAAAUGUAUUUUUGAUCUUUUUAUAUUGAUUAUAAAAUUAAAUUACCUUAGGGAUAACAGCAUAAUAUAGUUAAAAAGUUCUUAUUUUUAAUUUUGUUUAU
This 338-nucleotide ribosomal RNA is filed under the name Dasineura trifolii. Its description in RNAcentral is "partial 16S ribosomal RNA". Lineage: Eukaryota; Metazoa; Arthropoda; Insecta; Diptera; Cecidomyiidae. The record is from RNAcentral.